GUGUCUCUUCACGUAGAACAAGAGGAGGCCACUCACACAGUAAACGAUGGGCCGUAAUCUUCACGUGCAUGAGUGUACGAGCGGUUCAUAUUGAAGUCAUAGAAUCCCUUGACACAUCCAGCUUCGUCAACGCGCUAAGGCGCUUUCUUGCUGUGCGCGGCCCUGUCAAACACAUCCGCUCAGACCGUGGCACCAACUUUGUAGGCGCCUGCCGGGAGUUGAAAAUACCCUCAAACAUUGACAACACAACUGUGAAGACUUACCUGUUAGGUCAAGGUUGCUCGUGGACCUUUAACCCUCCGCACGCCUCCCAUUUUGGCGGUUCGUGGGAAAGAAUGAUUGGUCUUGCAAGGAGAAUCCUGGACGCCAUGUUCCUUCAGCUGAAGGACAAACUUACCCACGAGGUGCUGGUGACUUUCAUGGCAGAAGUUACAGCCAUUAUAAAUGGCAGACCUCUUGUUCCUGUGACAACCGACUCUGAGGAUCCAUUUAUACUCACUCCAGCUGCCCUUCUCACGCAAAAGGUGAAUGUCUUGACUGCCCCUACCGGAGAGUUUGGAGUUUCAGACCUCUACAAGCGCCAGUGGCGACAGGUCCAGCACCUGUCUAACACCUUCUGGGACAGAUGGCGAAAGCAAUAUCUCCCGACACUACAGGCACGUAAGAAGUGGCAUUCCGCUCAUCCAAACAUCAGCCCAGGAAGUGUUGUUAUCCUCAAGGAUAGUCAAGCACCAAGAAAUGAAUGGCCUCUUGGACUGGUAACACAGGCGUUCCCCAGCGAGGACGGGAAGCAGGUCUCCGUAGAUCGUGGUUCCUUCUGGACCCUGGUCCUGACACCUGCCGUGGCCCUGCUGACACCUGUUGCUGCCAUCAUCGCUUCUGUGGAUGGUGGUUCUAUCUGAUGAUGGUUGCCCGUGCAGUGGUCCUGCUGUGCGCCUGGCUUACUCACAAUUAUUAGAAUCAUUUCUGUCAUAUGAAUUGUUCAUUCUGUACACAUGGCAUCCAUUGUAGUCUGUCCAUCACGGGAGUGGGAUCCCUGCUCUGAUGACUUUUUCCCUCUUGGAAGGGUUUUUUCAUUUAUUGGGGAGUUUUUCCUGUGCUAAUGUGUGGGUUUCGGGACAGAGGAUGUCGUAUGUGUACAUACUGUAAAGCCCUCUGGGGUAAAUUUCUAAUUUGCGACUUUGGGCUAUACAAAAUAAAAUGAAUUGAAUUGAAUUGAACAUAUUGUUGCUGUAUUUAUAUCUUUCUGCGGAACGACACAUAGGAUGAAUGUUGUGGUUUUUCAUGCGGCAAGAGACAUAUGCAACUUUUAUUGUGAGCUACACAGUAUGUUAACGAGACUGUCCACUAAAGGG
Molecule: long non-coding RNA, 1355 nt
Organism: Gasterosteus aculeatus aculeatus (three-spined stickleback)
Lineage: Eukaryota; Metazoa; Chordata; Actinopteri; Perciformes; Gasterosteidae
Source: Ensembl